UACGUAGGGUCCGAGCGUUGUCCGGAAUUACUGGGCGUAAAGAGCUCGUAGGUGGUUUGUCGCGUUGUUCGUGAAAACUCACAGCUCAACUGUGGGCGUGCGGGCGAUACGGGCAGACUGGAGUACUGCAGGGGAGACUGGAAUUCCUGGUGUAGCGGUGAAAUGCGCAGAUAUCAGGAGGAACACCGAUGGCGAAGGCAGGUCUCUGGGCAUUAACUGACGCUGAGGAGCGAAAGCAUGGGGAGCGAACAGG
This 253-nucleotide ribosomal RNA is filed under the name uncultured bacterium. Its description in RNAcentral is "partial 16S ribosomal RNA". It matches the Rfam family "Bacterial small subunit ribosomal RNA", at positions 524 to 776 of the family's 1533-position model. The record is from RNAcentral.